AGUCCGAGUUGUAAUUUGCAGAGGGCGCUCCUCCCGUGUCGGCAGCGGUCCAAGUUCCUUGGAACAGGACGUCACAGAGGGUGAGAAUCCCGUACGUGGUCGCUGACCUACACCGUGUAAAGCCCCUUCGACGAGUCGAGUUGUUUGGGAAUGCAGCUCUAAAUGGGAGGUAAAUUUCUUCUAAAGCUAAAUACUGGCCAGAGACCGAUAGCGCACAAGUAGAGUGAUCGAAAGAUGAAAAGCACUUUGGAAAGAGAGUCAAACAGCACGUGAAAUUGUUGAAAGGGAAGCGCUUGCAGCCAGACUUGCUUGUAGUUGCUCAUCCGGGCUUUUGCCCGGUGCACUCUUCUGCGAGCAGGCCAGCAUCAGUUUGGGCGGUUGGAUAAAGGCCUCUGUCACGUACCUUCUCUCGGGAAGGCCUUAUAGGGGAGGCGUCAUGCAACCAGCCUGGACUGAGGUCCGCGCAUCUGCUAGGAUGCUGGCGUAAUGGCUGUAAGCGGCCCGUCUUGAAACACGGACCAAGGAGUCUAACAUCUAUGCGAGUGUUUGGGUGUCAAGCCCGAGCGCGCAAUGAAAGUGAACGGAGGUGGGAUCCCGCAAGGGUGCACCAUCGACCGAUCCUGAAGUCUUCGGAUGGAUUUGAGUAAGAGCAUGGCUGUUGGGACCCGAAAGAUGGUGAACUAUGCUUGAAUAGGGUGAAGCCAGAGGAAACUCUGGUGGAGGCCUCGCAGCGGUUCUGACGUG
RNAcentral lists this ribosomal RNA (744 nucleotides) under Pyrenochaetopsis sp. Its description in RNAcentral is "partial large subunit ribosomal RNA". It matches the Rfam family "Eukaryotic large subunit ribosomal RNA", at positions 135 to 893 of the family's 3401-position model. Lineage: Eukaryota; Fungi; Ascomycota; Dothideomycetes; Pleosporales; Pyrenochaetopsidaceae. The record is from RNAcentral.